CCGGGCGGGAUUGGAGGAGGCCGCGCCUCUCACCGCCCGGCCACGGCCCGUAAGGGGCGGGCUUGGAAUACACCGCUCCCCUUAUUGCAUCGCCAUCCACAGGCGGGGACGAGGCCGCGCCCUUUAGCGCCUCGUACCGCCCCUCCCGGCGGCCGCAGUUCUGGCGGUCGUCACAGCCACUAAACGAGGCCAAAACGAGGACCAGACGCUCACCGCCACACCCGAGCCCGGCCCUCACCGCUGCCGCCGCUGACGGGGGCGAGGCCGUUGCUCACGGGCGUGCCGGCGGGCGCCUCGCGCGGCCCGUUACUUUGGAGCAUGCGCGGUGCGGCGCCCCCGCGUUCCCGCCCGUGCGGCGCGCGCGGGCUCGUGAGGGGGGAGCGCGCGCACGGCCCCGCCGCCGCCUCAGCGCUCCCUGAGGGAACGGAGCCGCAGGGACGGAAAAAAAGUCACAGAACCUCUGAGUCACUGAGCCAAAAAGUGACAGAAGCACAGGGUCACAGAAUAUACGGAGUUGGUAGGGACCCACGAGGAUCAUCAAAGUCCGACUCCUGGCUCUGCACACAACACGCCAAGAAUCCCACCGUGUCACGGCCGUGAUGUCGAUGCUUCACACACCGCUGAGCCCUCGCGGUUUCCACAGGCAGAGACGGCUUUUAACUGGACACAAGAUCAUUGGAAGCCUCGUGCUUUUCACAAGGCGUCUUCUCUGUGACAUGAAAGAGGAAGAGCCACAUGCCAGCAGCAGCAUCUCCCUGCACUGGAAACAAAUCUCCACAAAACCAACCACAUCCAAGAGGUUCGUACCAAAUGUUGGAACUUUAAUGCUUAGAUCUCUGUAUCUGCUGUCCAGCACCUUUCCCUCCCUUCCAACACACAGAACUGAUUGUUCCUCAUCCCUACUCAAACCAAGUGUCCAUCAGGUUUAAUCCAGGCCUUAUUACACCACAGUGCCCUAAAAUAGUAGAGAUUCUGGCUUUCUGGCUAGCCCAGGUGUGAGAAGGGCAGCACAAACACCACACUUCCAUAGCAAAAAAGCCCCGGUUGCCUUGCCAGCAGGGAAGGAGAAGAUCCCAAGGUCAGGGCUGCUGUUGGAACAGUGGCACUGCAAACACUGGCCUCAGGAAUCCCUGUCUGCUCCAUCUCACACUGCCCUCAUCCACAUGCCAGGGCAAACUGGGAAGAGAUUGUGCCCAAAUGGAGCAUCCUGAGAGCAUCAGGCUGGACUGACUCUAAACCAAGAGCACUGGGGGGCUGCAAACAGGAGCCUCUGGAGAAACUGCAAAUCUCUUGUAUCAGGACAGAAUUUAGUUGACUCAGCCACCACUCCGAGCCCCAAACUGGAAAAGGCAUCAGGAAAUGAGAGCAGGCAAGGCACAGGAGGCAGAAAUAGGCAAUUAGGUUAAUCAGAUUUGUUGCAGUGGCUGCAAGGACUUUCCAUUCAUGUAGGAAAGGUUUUACUGACCCUUCUCCCACAGCUGGGGAAUCUGACCCCGUGCAGAUGAAAUUCAGGAAUCAGUUGAGCUCGGAAGAAGCCCUUGGCUCUCCACAGACACUGCUGGAAAGCGGGCUCUCCUCUGAGGGAGAAGCAGCAUUUCGGGCUCUCAUUUCCAGGGCAAGUUUCCCUACUUAAAAAGGCCUUUCCUCUUCAAAUCUAUUACUCUGGUUAAUAAAAAUAAUACUUGAGCAAUAUAAGUUCCCAUCAUUCAGCAAAAAUAUCAGAAACUACAGCAAAUGUACCUAAGCAGUUUUUAACAAAAGCUGAGAUUCCUGAAGCCUCCUCAGCUGCAACACCUCAUUAAUUGUUCAGC
Molecule: long non-coding RNA, 1811 nt
Organism: Motacilla alba alba
Lineage: Eukaryota; Metazoa; Chordata; Aves; Passeriformes; Motacillidae
Exons: 2
Source: RefSeq, a predicted model, not a curated record